UUAACUAAAGCUAAAUUAGAAGCGUUUUACUGUUAAUAAAAAAAUUGAUUAAAUCUAGUUAAA
RNAcentral lists this transfer RNA (63 nucleotides) under Ishiharodelphax matsuyamensis. RNAcentral's name for it is "tRNA-Asn". Lineage: Eukaryota; Metazoa; Arthropoda; Insecta; Hemiptera; Delphacidae. The record is from RNAcentral.